GACGAACGCUGGCGGCGUGCUUAACACAUGCAAGUCGAACGAAGAGCGACGGAAGCUUGCUUCUAUCAAUCUUAGUGGCGAACGGGUGAGUAACGCGUAAUCAACCUGCCCUUCAGAGGGGGACAACAGUUGGAAACGACUGCUAAUACCGCAUACGAUCUAAUCUCGGCAUCGAGGAUGGAUGAAAGGUGGCCUCUACAUGUAAGCUAUCACUGAAGGAGGGGAUUGCGUCUGAUUAGCUAGUUGGAGGGGUAACGGCCCACCAAGGCGAUGAUCAGUAGCCGGUCUGAGAGGAUGAACGGCCACAUUGGGACUGAGACACGGCCCAGACUCCUACGGGAGGCAGCAGUGGGGAAUCUUCCGCAAUGGACGAAAGUCUGACGGAGCAACGCCGCGUGAGUGAUGACGGCCUUCGGGUUGUAAGGCUCUGUUAAUCGGGACGAAAGGCCUUCUUGCGGAUAGUGAGAAGGAUUGACGGUACCGGAAUAGAAAGCCACGGCUAACUACGUG
RNAcentral lists this ribosomal RNA (510 nucleotides) under uncultured bacterium. RNAcentral describes it as "partial 16S ribosomal RNA". It matches the Rfam family "Bacterial small subunit ribosomal RNA", at positions 28 to 507 of the family's 1533-position model. The record is from RNAcentral.